CGUAAAGUCCAAACAAUUGUUUAACGUUAUGGCAUGACCGAAAUAGUUUGGCCGCACUUAACAUAAUUUACGACCUCAUUUUUCGGUGUAAUCGUAUGUUAUAAUAUUACAACAGCGUUUUAUUUACAUUGAAACGCCGCGCAAAGUAAAACACGGUGUUGUUCCGAAACGUUUAUUUCAAAAGUGAGUUAAUUAGGUUCGGUAAUUUUUUGUCCGCUGCUGUUGUUUUUAGUCUUUUUUUUUUU
Molecule: non-coding RNA, 245 nt
Organism: Cinara cedri
Lineage: Eukaryota; Metazoa; Arthropoda; Insecta; Hemiptera; Aphididae
Source: the annotation of a GenBank genome assembly